Molecule: ribosomal RNA, 496 nt
Filed under: uncultured bacterium
Lineage: Bacteria
Description: partial 16S ribosomal RNA
Rfam family: Bacterial small subunit ribosomal RNA
Source: RNAcentral
GAUGAACGCUGGCGGCGUGCCUAAUACAUGCAAGUCGAGCGAACGGACGAGAAGCUUGCUUCUCUGAUGUUAGCGGCGGACGGGUGAGUAACACGUGGAUAACCUACCUAUAAGACUGGGAUAACUUCGGGAAACCGUAGCUAAUACCGGAUAAUAUUUUGAACCGCAUGGUUCAAAAGUGAAAGACGGUCUUGCUGUCACUUAUAUAUGGAUCCGCGCUGCAUUAGCUAGUUGGUAAGGUAACGGCUUACCAAGGCAACGAUGCAUAGCCGACCUGAGAGGGUGAUCGGCCACACUGGAACUGAGACACGGUCCAGACUCCUACGGGAGGCAGCAGUAGGGAAUCUUCCGCAAUGGGCGAAAGCCUGACGGAGCAACGCCGCGUGAGUGAUGAAGGUCUUCGGAUCGUAAAACUCUGUUAUUAGGGAAGAACAUAUGUGUAAGUAACUGUGCACAUCUUGACGGUACCUAAUCAGAAAGCCACGGCUAACUACGU